Molecule: ribosomal RNA, 492 nt
Filed under: uncultured bacterium
Lineage: Bacteria
Description: partial 16S ribosomal RNA
Rfam family: Bacterial small subunit ribosomal RNA
Source: RNAcentral
AGUGAACGCUGGCGGCAGGCCUAACACAUGCAAGUCGAACGGCAGCACAGUAAGAGUUUGCUCUUACCGGUGGCGAGUGGCGGACGGGUGACGAAUACAUCGGAAUCUACUUUUUCGUGGAGGAUAACGUAGGGAAACUUACGCUAAUACCGCAUAUGACCUACGGGUGAAAGCAGUGGAUCUUCGCACCUUUCGCGACUGAACUAGCAGAUGUCGGAUUAGCUAGUUGGCGGGGUAAAGGCCCAGCAAGGCGACGAUCCGUAGCUGGUCUGAGAGGAUGGUGAGGCCCACUGGGACUGAGACACGGUCCAGGCUCCUACGGGAGGCACCAAUGGGGAAGAUUGGACAAUGGGGGGAAUCCUGCUCCAGCCAUAGCGGCUGGGUGAAGAAAGCCCUCGGGUUGUAAAGCCCUUUUGUUGGGAAAGAAAAGCAGCGGGUUAGAACCCCGCUGUUCUGACGGUACCCAAAGAAUAAGCACCGGCUAACUUCGUG